UGGUGGGCACUCUAAGGAGACUGCCGGUGACAAACCGGAGGAAGGUGGGGAUGACGUCAAGUCAUCAUGGCCCUUACGGCCUGGGCUACACACGUGCUACAAUGGUCGGUACAGAGGGUUGCCAAGCCGCGAGGUGGAGCUAAUCCCAGAAAACCGAUCGUAGUCCGGAUCGCAGUCUGCAACUCGACUGCGUGAAGUCGGAAUCGCUAGUAAUCGCGAAUCAGAAUGUCGCGGUGAAUACGUUCCCGGGCCUUGUACACACCGCCCGUCACACCAUGGGAGUGGGUUGCACCAGAAGUAGCUAGUCUAACCUUCGGGAGGACGGUUACCACGGUGUGAUUCAUGACUGGGGUGAAGUCGUAA
This 363-nucleotide ribosomal RNA is filed under the name uncultured Pseudomonas sp. RNAcentral's name for it is "bacterial SSU rRNA". It matches the Rfam family "Bacterial small subunit ribosomal RNA", at positions 1129 to 1491 of the family's 1533-position model. Lineage: Bacteria; Pseudomonadati; Pseudomonadota; Gammaproteobacteria; Pseudomonadales; Pseudomonadaceae. The record is from RNAcentral.